CCUACGGGAGGCAGCAGUGGGGAAUAUUGCGCAAUGGGCGCAAGCCUGACCCAGCAACGCCGCGUGAGGGAAGAAGGCUUUCGGUUUGUAAACUUCUUUUGGCAGGGAAGAGUAGGAGACGGUACCUGACGAAUAAGCCACGGCUAACUACGUGCCAGCAGCCGCGGUAAUACGUAGGUGGAAAGCGUUGUCCGGAUUUACUGGGUGUAAAGGGCGUGUAGGCGGUUUGACAAGUCAGAUGUGAAAUCCUGCGGCUUAACCGCAGAACUGCAUUGGAAACUGUUGAUCUUGAGUACUGGAGAGGUAGACGGAAUUCCUAGUGUAGCGGUGAAAUGCGUAGAUAUUAGGAGGAACACCAGUGGCGAAGGCGGUCUGCUGGACAGCAACUGACGGUGAGGCGCGAAAGCGUGGGGAGCAAACAGGAUUAGAUACCCGGGUAGUC
RNAcentral lists this ribosomal RNA (442 nucleotides) under uncultured bacterium. Its description in RNAcentral is "partial 16S ribosomal RNA". It matches the Rfam family "Bacterial small subunit ribosomal RNA", at positions 338 to 795 of the family's 1533-position model. The record is from RNAcentral.